GAAAUGCGAUAAGUAGUGUGAAUUGCAGAAUUCAGUGAAUCAUCGAAUCUUUGAACGCACAUUGCGCCCCUUGGUAUUCCAUGGGGCAUGCCUGUUCGAGCGUCAUCUACACCCUCAAGCUCUGCUUGGUGUUGGGCGUCUUUGUCCCGCCUCCGCGCGCGGACUCGCCCCAAAUUCAUUGUCAGCGGUCCUUGCCUCCUCUCGCGCAGCACAUUGCGCUUCUCGAGGUGUUGCGGCCCGCGUCCAGAAAGCAAUCGUUACCGUCUUUGACCUCGGAUCAGGUAGGGAUACCCGCUGAACUUAAGC
RNAcentral lists this unclassified non-coding RNA (306 nucleotides) under plant metagenome. Its description in RNAcentral is "partial contains 5.8S ribosomal RNA, internal transcribed spacer 2, and large subunit ribosomal RNA". The stretch from base 1 to 105 matches the Rfam family "5.8S ribosomal RNA", at positions 50 to 154 of the family's 154-position model. The record is from RNAcentral.